GAGAGAUGGCUGAGUGGUUGAUAGCCCCGRUCUUGUCAACUGGUAUAGUUCUUAUCUGCGAACUAUAAAAGGUCAUCCCUUUCUAAA
This 87-nucleotide transfer RNA is filed under the name Cattleya forbesii. Its description in RNAcentral is "tRNA-Ser". The record is from RNAcentral. Lineage: Eukaryota; Viridiplantae; Streptophyta; Magnoliopsida; Asparagales; Orchidaceae.